CCUACGGGGGGCAGCAGUUGGGAAUAUUGGACAAUGGAGGAAACUCUGAUCCAGUGACGCCGCGUGAAGGAAGAAGGUCUUCGGAUUGUAAACUUAUUUUAUCAGGGAAGAAAAAAAUGACUGUACCUGAAGAAGAAGCACCGGCUAACUACGUGCCAGCAGCCGCGGUAAUACGUAGGGUGCAAGCGUUAUCCGGAUUUACUGGGUGUAAAGGGCGAGUAGACGGCGUUGCAAGUCAGAUGUGAAAGGCUAGGGCUCAACCUUAGGAGAGCAUCUGAAACUGUAAUGCUAGAGUGCAGGAGAGG
This 305-nucleotide ribosomal RNA is filed under the name uncultured bacterium. RNAcentral describes it as "bacterial SSU rRNA". It matches the Rfam family "Bacterial small subunit ribosomal RNA", at positions 338 to 657 of the family's 1533-position model. The record is from RNAcentral.